This 253-nucleotide ribosomal RNA is filed under the name uncultured bacterium. RNAcentral describes it as "partial 16S ribosomal RNA". It matches the Rfam family "Bacterial small subunit ribosomal RNA", at positions 524 to 776 of the family's 1533-position model. The record is from RNAcentral.
UACGUAGGGGGCCAGCGUUGAUCGGAAUUACUGGGCGUAAAGGGUUCGUAGGCGGUGCGUCAAGUUGGGAGUGAAAUCUCUGGGCUUAACCCAGAGACGGCUUCCAAAACUGCUGUGCUUGAGUGUGGGAGAGGCUCGUGGAAUUGCAGGUGUAGCGGUGAAAUGCGUAGAUAUCUGCAGGAACACCCGUGGCGAAAGCGGCGAGCUGGACCACUACUGACGCUGAAGAACGAAAGCUAGGGGAGCAAACAGG